AACGUAGGAGACAAACGUUAUCCGGAGUUACUGGGCGUAAAGGGUGCGUAGGUGGCCAGGAAAGUCUGAUGUGAAAUCUCCGAGCUCAACUCGGAAAUGGCAUUGGAAACUAUUUGGCUAGAGGGUCGGAGGGGGGACUGGAAUUCUCGGUGUAGCAGUGAAAUGCGUAGAUAUCGAGAGGAACACCAGUGGCGAAGGCGAGUCCCUGGACGACUCCUGACACUGAGGCACGAAAGCUAGGGGAGCAAACAGG
Molecule: ribosomal RNA, 253 nt
Filed under: uncultured bacterium
Lineage: Bacteria
Description: partial 16S ribosomal RNA
Rfam family: Bacterial small subunit ribosomal RNA
Source: RNAcentral